Molecule: long non-coding RNA, 8742 nt
Organism: Cyprinus carpio carpio
Lineage: Eukaryota; Metazoa; Chordata; Actinopteri; Cypriniformes; Cyprinidae
Source: Ensembl
CUUUUGUAGACAGUUUAUUCAGAUUCAUUUAUGGAUAUUAUUGUGUUUUGAAACACAAAAUAUACAACCAUGUUAUUUUGUUUAUAUACUUUUUCACCAUCACAGAAUGUUUUUCUUAGAGUAUGAUGCAAAAUUUAAUCCAAUUCAGACGGUCAAGGUGUAAUAAUAUGUAAAUUUAUUAAAAAGAAUAUAGAGAACAGAAACCACAAAUCAUAACUUGGAAAUAAAGUUCUGAAUAAUAAUAACAACCUUCAAAUAUAGAAAAUGUAAAUCCAAUGUACAUUUUUAAUAACAAUCCAUUUAUGAUGGAUUGAACCCAACCAGUAUUAAUCAAAACAUUAAUAAAAUUGUAAGUAAAACAUAAACAAUUAUUCUGUUCGAAUCAAAAGUACCAAAAUAUUAGUAUUAAAAUAUUAAAGUAUCAGAGUAUCAAAGUAUCUGAAUUUCAAGGUAUCUGAAUUUGAAUAAAAACCUGUAAGAGUUCUAAGUCUGAGUGUAAGAGUUGUCGAGUGAAGCCAAAGAAGAGGAAGUGAGCUGAAAAGAUAGAGAGACCAGAGUCUCAGAAAGUCAAACCCUAUUCUAUUUUGCAGAGUCUAUCUUAUAUACUGUUGUUCUAGACAUAAGUCGUCAUCUGGCUAUCACUAAUAACACCUGACCUUUAAAAAUAGUCCAGUCAAUGUCUCGAUUUUGGACUUCUUCCUCUUUUAGAUUCAAAGUAUCAUACAGAUAAUUCUAAGAAAUAUUGAUACAAAAGAACAAUACGUGCAGUUCAACUUCAUAUGCAAAACAGACUCAGCUGACUACGCAGUUAGAAAUACUGUGAAAUUACAUAUGAAAUAUACCAUAAAGUUUACCAAAAACAUUUUUGAAUAUAAAAAUGAAACCUGUUUAUAUAUAUAUAUAUAUAUGAGACCGAUCACUACCAUGAAAUAUUAAUUUUUAACUUUUGAAAUGAAACUUAUCCUUAUGAAUAGAACACAUUUUGAGUACGUGACUUCUCAGAAUCUCUCAACAACACUUGGGUUUAAUUUAAAUACAUGGACUUCUUCUCAGAAUCUCUAUCACCAUGUGGAUUUCUUAGAAUCUCCACACACCAAUCCCCCACUCGAGUCUUAUCAAAAGACUCGCCACAACCUUUUCCUUAAAUCAAAACCAAAAAUACAGAAAUACAGAGUAAUUCAAAAGGAAAAAUACAUGAUACAUACAUGAAAAUAUAGAAAAUUAAUAGCAAGAUUUCAGAUAGAUAGUACUGUAGAUACCUCUCUAACCCCAGCUACCUUGAAAUUAACAAAGAUCUUCACCAAGAUGGCCAGACGAGAACUCCUAAGGAAAUUCGACCCCUGGCGUCCCCUGGACUUUUGCUGGGUUGAGGACUUACCACAGCCUUCCAUCUUUCCCAACUCUAAACUCUAUCAUCGUUCUUUCUCUUCUUGCCCUUGGCAGAUAGUAGUUGAAGAUAUUUGUCCUUAUGGUACCAUGUCGUUAAUUUCCAAACUUUUGUUGAUCGUUUUCAACAUCUCAUACCUUUCCUUACCCUUCACCUGCAAGGUAUAGAUUUCCUCAUGACUACUGGUAUAAAUGGGAGAAUAAAAAUAUAUUUUGAUCUAUAUGUAAAUCUAUAUAUAUCAGCUGGUAGACUUUAGCACAGGUCUCUCAGAUGACGUAGAAUUAGUUAACGAGUGAUAUUAUGAUGAUGCGAUGAAACACUGAUGUCCAGCCACGAGCACAGCAACCACUCCCAGAAUGUCAAUGAGCUGCACUGUUGCAGAAGUCACAUCGAAGAGUCACCCUUAGAACCAGUCGUGUGUGGUAAAUAUAUGCAGAAUAUUUCUGUGACAGCAUGCACUCGCACCUAUUAGAGAUAUAGAAUAGUAGGAGCAGAAAUAUUUGGAUAAAAACACAACAAAUACACACACAUAACAACACAUAGACAAACUAAACAGGACAAUACCAGUACACAUAAACAUAAACACCAUGGUUUUCAGUUUCUCUUUUUUUAUAUAUAUAUAUAUAUAUUAAACACAAUAGGUCCGGAUGGAAUCAUAGUUGAAAACCUAAAGAGAGGAAACAAUUAGUCAUUGUUCUUCCUUAGCAGCCAUUCCUUGGAUAUAAAAUACUGCACCUGUUGGACUAAAUCACAUUAGAAAGAGAGUUAGUAUCAGCAAGCGGCGACAGAGGCUUCACUUGUGCAAGUUGCAUCCAUCGAGUCAGCCCUGGCUCGAUUUCAACAAGAAGAAAUGUUGGAGUAGUCAACAACACCGAAUGAGGACCCUCAUACCUGAAGGACAUUGGUCCUAAGUUCCCUAUUUUCUGUAUCAUCACUUCGUCCCCCACUUGUACGUGAUUUUUAACCUUUACAUUGAAUAUAGUGUUUUUAAGAUCUCCAGCAUGUUGAGCACUGAGGGCACUGAAAUGGGCAUUCUUUAAUGCGCACGUGAGUACUUUAAGAUACUCCUGUAAAGUGUCCUUCAAUGAACCCGAGGGACCUACGAGCAAUAAUGGAGCUGUAGGGGAAUGUACUGUUAAAACCCAGAGACCUUUUUAGAAAGAAAUUUGACUUAUUUGUAUUUUUCUUUUUAUAUGUCUUAUACAACUAUGAUGAAUUUUGAUUAAUUUGUUAUAUCGUAAAAUAAAUUAAUUGCCAUAAACAUAUAUAUGUAUUAUUCUCUGGAAGCCGGGCUAAAUUAAUAAUCGCUGUUAUUGCAUUCCUGACAUAGGUCAGACCCUCAGUCACCUCACAGAUACCAAAUACAGACAUUACUUAUAACCUAAAUCCCAGUAAAGAUACCCAUAUUUUAUGAAAAUUUAUCAUUCCCGAACCAUGGUGCAAUGAGAGGGACUGAAAAUCCAAUAUACCCUUUCAGAGCAUCUGGAAAAUUUACAAACGAGAACCAGUACAUGUUUGUACCCAUGAUCAGAAGGUAACAAAGUAAAAUCCAAAUGCAAAUGUGUGAAUGGUCCUCACGGGCGAGGACUAUGACCAAUUGGGAUUUUAACUUUUCCAAAUUAUGGCUUCGUUUGCAAACAGUGGAUACAUCUGGAAAGUCUUAUCCUUCACAGUUUGUAACAUCUCCGGCUAAAACCAUGUUUGUUGCAACAUAGCAUGUGUUUUCUGAACCCCUGGGUGUGCAAUGCUCUGGUACAGAUCAAUUAGUUCAGUUUGGUUUGAUAUCCGCUAAGCGGAAUGACUUUGUCAUUCAGGGCAUAAACCCCUUCUUCAGUUACGGUAGCUCCUAAUUUUUGACACAUUUCACGAUCCUCAGCUGUGUACAGUUUAGAUAAAGUUUCGGAACCCGUGCAGUCAGGAUGAACAGGGAAGAUGACAGCCACUUCCUCAAGUACCACACCCUUUGCAGCCUCUCUCGCAGCCUUAUCAGCUAGAGAGUUUCCUUUCGCCAACCAAUCAUUGAAAGUGCUGUGACCCGUGACUUUACAUACUGCAACACUGUUUGGUGGAAUUUCCUCACACGUGUCAAGAAUUUCUUUAAUUAUGGUUUGAUGACUUAUUGGCAUACCCGCUGUGGUCAAAUAACCACGACGUUUCCAAACAGGGCCAUAACUCUGCACUACAUGGUGGCUGUAUGCACUAUGAGUAAAAAUAUUUACAUUAGUGGAGCUAUUUUCACCUGCAGUUAGUUUAAGAGCCAGAUUUAAGACAGCUUUCAAAGCAUGCAAUUCAGCUAUCUGAGCACUUCCUCCCGAAGCGACCCCUCAGCCAAGACCUCGCCCGUCUUCCCCUCUACUACCGCCCAGCCCAUAUAGCGCGUGUCACCCUCGUAGAAACUGCUGCCAUCCACGAACAUGUCCAGAUAAUCUGAAAACGGUUAAUCUCUGACAAAAUGUCCCCUGUCACAGAUAAUUACCUCGGCGCAGUCGUGUGCACUCCCCUCAUUCUCCAUUAGGGAGGCAGAAUUUGUCCGGUUGUCUGUAACAACAGUGAGUUGAGGGUUCAUGAGAGCAGUUUCCCAUUUUGCACGUCGUUGAUUUGAAAUCGACUUUAUUUUUGUCUCUGCGAGCAUGCGUAGAAAACGAUGUGGAGAGUGAAGGAUCAUCUGAUUGUAACCGACGAUGGCCUCAGUGACCUUCAACACCCACUCAGCACAGUCCAAGGCCAUCAAACACGGCAUCUGUCCAUUCAUGGAAGAGCGAAUAAAAGUUGAAUAGUACCCAACAAUGCCAUAACUUUUGUCACCUUACAUUGUCCCAGCACACAGUUAUAAGCACUUGGGCCAACAUGUGUCCAUACAUGGAAUGUCUUUGUCAUGUCGGGGCUAAUGCGGAUUUGAGGAGAGUAAAGGACUCAGCCAUGUCUGCUGUCCACUCCAAAGGCGAAGCACCCGGAAGGCCUCCUUUAAGAGCCUCUGUUAGAGUUUUAGCCAAAUCAGAAAAAUCUUGGAUAUACAUCCGAUUAAAAUUAAAUAGCCCCAUUAAUGAUCUUAAACCAGUAACUGUGGUUGGCUUAUUUAAUUGAGUGAUGGCUAUGACCCGGUCUGGAAGAGGUCUCUUUCCCUCACAACCUAUACUUUGACCUAAAAAUGUAACUUCCGAUUGAAACAAUUGCACCUUUUUUGUUUGUUCAAGAGGAAACCCGCCUCUUGGAGUAUUUUCAACAACCGAGUGAGUCCACUCAAGUGUUGUGCUUUAUCUUGAGAUGCGAGAAGAAUGUCGUCACAAUAUUGAAAGGCAAAUCUGCAUUGAUCUUCUUCUCUGAUAGGACAAGACCAAAAACCAUUGGUUAUGUCUACUGCGCUAAAAUAGCGAUGGUUUGGAGAAAUAUCAUUAAGAAUGGUUGACGGAUUAGCAACAAUAGGAGUUAUUUUAGGAGUCACAGCAUUCAAUGUGGUGUAGUCUAUAGUUAACCUAUAGCUACCAUCUGGCUUUUUAUUUAUUUAUUUUUUUCACACAGGCUGCAUAGGUAAGUUCAUGGAGGAAGUACACCUUACCAAAAUCCCUGAUUCCUGAAGCUGGUUCACAAUUUCCCGUGCAGCUCUCUUUGCUUCUCUCCGAAGAGGAUACUGAAAUACUGGAGGAUGUAUAGGACCUGAAACAUUAAAAGUUCAAUCUUGCAAAGACCAACAUCAUGUUUAGAAGUUGACCACAAAUUUGGAAAUUUCUCAGCGAAAUAUUGUAUCACUGAGGAAUCAGUAGACUCCUUUUCAUUAGCUGUGAUAGCUCCAAGGCUUAAUUCAGGAGUUCCAGUUUUAUUAAAAACUGGUAUGGGAAUUGGUAAAUACUGACUAAUUAAUUGACCCCUAGUCAGCAAAACAUCUGCUUCCAAUUUACUCAAAAUAUCCAUUCCCAUUACCAUGCCAACUUGGCUUUCUCCAACCCAGAAUUGCACACAAAAAGGCUGUUCAAAUGGAUAUAUUAUUAGAGGAAUCAAUAGAGACUGUGUGAAAAGACUGCGACCAGAUAUACUUUGAAGAUGCAUUUGUUUGUUAAAGGCAAAUUAAUAUCAGUUACUGAGAUGCAGACCCGGGGGCCCACAAGAAUGUAGCUAUCCUGGCUUCCUAAGUUAGAAUGUAAAAAUGGACGAGGGUCUUCGUGCCCAUAUAAAAUGAAGGCCACUAUCUGUCAGUCUGUAUUCUCAAAAGCUCUUGUCAGUUUUUCAACCUGCUUCCAGGUCAGCACCCUGCUUCUUUGCACCAGAGUUAUUUUAAGCACAAUCUCGAGGAAGUGGUUUUGGUGUCCGCUGUUGUUGAAAAGAGGAACUAGGCUUUCUGAAAUUUCACCCUAAAUUUCGAUCAGGGCACCUGUUUGCGUAGUGACCAUCACGCUGGCAAUGAUAACAACGAAAUGCUGGAGCAGAGGCCUGGCCAACUGCAGCAAUCAGUCCCUUCUUUUGUUGUUCCACGAUGUCUUGAGCCCGUGUCACCCAUGGAACAAAAGAAGACCAGUCAAUAAUUGUUGACAGAGAAGAAUGAAACAACUGUGUAAAUUUAGCAUUCAUAUUUGACUGCGCAGUGUGGAGCAUGACUGGAGAAUCUAAGUCAGGCCCCCAUCGUGCGGCCACAAAUUCUUUCAGUGCCUUUUUGCAUCGCUCAGUGUAAUCAACAAAUGGUUCAUUAGGACCCUGCCUUAUCAUUGUCACAUUAGUGAAAGUCUGAAUUCCAUUUCCAACUGCACGCUGUACUUCAGUACGCAGCACUCUGUACUGAGUUGCGUAAUCAUCUGCAUUCGCUGGUGGCUGUAAAUGAGGGGUGAGAUGAUCUGUCCCAUGUAUGUAGACGGGCAGACUUGCUCCCAAAUUGAAUACAGAUCUUUUAUCUUUUACUGCUAGGCGGUUGGCUCUUGCCAUUACCCACAAACAAUCCCAAAAUUCAGAAUUGGUACUGUUAGAUUUCAUGAGUGGCAGUAUAUUUACAAUACUAGUCAAAUCUCGCACACCCAUAGAUCGACAAACCCCCACUUGACCAGCCGCUAUCGAUUCCUGAUCUAUUUCACUAUAGCGGGGUAAUUUUGGACGCAGUUUCACAUACUCGCCCCACUCAUCCUCAGCUUCCUCCAGGUCCCCAGGAGAAAUAGCUGCAACCUGUAUACCACCAUUCUCAGAAACAUUCGUCACAUGUCUCCCUGCCUUGGCAAUCGCUGCUUUCAAUUUUGAAGCAUAUUCCUGCCAGCUAUAAAUAUCAUCAAUUUUAGGAACUCUCCCUUUCUGCUCUUGACUCCUUAGUUACAAUGUCUAAUAAAUCCCACAUAUCUUGUGUAGCAUCUCUAGCCGCUUGUGCCAGUUUAUCCACAUAAACUAUAUUCUUCAAUUGCGAUAUGUUAAAAUACCUGCACAAUCCUCAAACAACACAAAACUCGUGCAUAUUUCUUUUGUUUCUUAGGAUCAUUAACUUCCUUCAUCAGCCCCAUUCACACUGCCUACGCGGACCCCACAUUUCUUUAAAUUUAUCUUUAGCCAUUUUCUGUUUAAUCUUUUCUUUAUUUCCGAUGCCUAACAUCGCUACUUGAGCAGUGAGAGCUUCGUUAGGAGCUCCUUUUACAUACACAUGAGCCAUUACUUUGUGUGUUGACACCCCCAACAAAGAAAAAGUUUUAUUCAAUUCAGAUACACUCAAUUAAAUACACUUAAUUAAAUUCACUUAAUUAAAAAUUGAUAAAUUUGGUGUUCUCUUUACUCUUAAUUUGUUUAAUUUGAUUAGCCGUCUGACAGUUAUAACAAUUAUACAAAAUUGAAAGCCAGUCACAACGUGGUAUUCUGCCACAUUCAAACAAUUGUCAAAAUAUAUGGAUUUAGAAUUUAGUCGCAAGGUGGAAUUCUGCCAGUGUCAAGACUGCCGAGUCCAUCCCAGAGCCUAUAUCAAAACAGAGAAUCGACAUACAGAUCUGACCAGCACGCUGCAGUAAUCCCUGACAGCGUGUGUCUCAAAAACUGUUGCGCUUCAGUAAACCCUGAAAGCGCCCGCAAUACACCUCCGGUAAACCCCGCAAAGUGUACUUGCUACGCAGAAUUAUCUACACUGUCGGUAAACCCCUUCAGUGAACAACACAUUUAAUGCCGCAAAUCGCCGUUCUCAAACACAGAGCGCGCGCUCAUUCCUCACACACGGUUAAACCACCGUACCGCCCCAAAUUCGUUCUCUUGCUGCAGUCAAGAAAAAUGAACGAAAUGGGUCCGCAGAUAUAGCUCUUAGACUCGGCAGGUUUGCACAACAGAAGCCCAUAAAGAGAAUUAGAUGAGCAACUCACCUCUCUUUAUCUUUCCUUGCGAUGCAUCAAAUAUACUUCAAGGAUCGAUCAGUAUCCCAGCGGUGCCUCCAUUAACUGAUGCAAAAUUUAAUCCAAUUCAGACGGUCAAGGUGUAAUAAUAUGUAAAUUUAUUAAAAAGAAUAUAGAGAACAGAAACCACAAAUCAUAACUUGGAAAUAAAGUUCUGAAUAAUAAUAACAACCUUCAAAUAUAGAAAAUGUAAAUCCAAUGUACAUUUUUAAUAACAAUCCAUUUAUGAUGGAUUGAACCCAACCAGUAUUAAUCAAAACAUUAAUAAAAUUGUAAGUAAAACAUAAACAAUUAUUCUGUUCGAAUCAAAAGUACCAAAAUAUUAGUAUUAAAAUAUUAAAGUAUCAGAGUAUCAAAGUAUCUGAAUUUCAAGGUAUCUGAAUUUGAAUAAAAACCUGUAAGAGUUCUAAGUCUGAGUGUAAGAGUUGUCGAGUGAAGCCAAAGAAGAGGAAGUGAGCUGAAAAGAUAGAGAGACCAGAGUCUCAGAAAGUCAAACCCUAUUCUAUUUUGCAGAGUCUAUCUUAUAUACUGUUGUUCUAGACAUAAGUCGUCAUCUGGCUAUCACUAAUAACACCUGACCUUUAAAAAUAGUCCAGUCAAUGUCUCGAUUUUGGACUUCUUCCUCUUUUAGAUUCAAAGUAUCAUACAGAUAAUUCUAAGAAAUAUUGAUACAAAAGAACAAUACGUGCAGUUCAACUUCAUAUGCAAAACAGACUCAGCUGACUACGCAGUUAGAAAUACUGUGAAAUUACAUAUGAAAUAUACCAUAAAGUUUACCAAAAACAUUUUUGAAUAUAAAAAUGAAACCUGUUUAUAUAUAUAUAUAUAUGAGACCGAUCACUACCAUGAAAUAUUAAUUUUUAACUUUUGAAAUGAAACUUAUCCUUAUGAAUAGAACACAUUUUGAGUACGUGACUUCUCAGAAUCUCUCAACAACACUUGGGUUUAAUUUAAAUACAUGGACUUCUUCUCAGAAUCUCUAUCACCAUGUGGAUUUCUUAGAAUCUCCACACACCA